UACAGAGGUAGCAAGCGUUGUUCGGAAUGACUGGGUGUAAAGCGCAUGUAGGCGGUUUUGUAAGUUGAAUGUGAAAUCCUUUGGCUUAACCAAAGAACUGCAUUCAAAACUGCAUUACUUGAGUAUGGAAGAGGAAAGCGGAAUUUCUGGUGUAGCGGUGAAAUGCGUAGAUAUCAGAAGGAACACCAGUGGCGAAGGCGGCUUUCUGGUCCGUAACUGACGCUGAGAUGCGAAAGCUAGGGGAG
Molecule: ribosomal RNA, 245 nt
Filed under: uncultured bacterium
Lineage: Bacteria
Description: partial 16S ribosomal RNA
Rfam family: Bacterial small subunit ribosomal RNA
Source: RNAcentral